AAUUUUAGGUGUUUAAAAGCAAUUA
RNAcentral lists this non-coding RNA (25 nucleotides) under Rattus norvegicus (Norway rat). Lineage: Eukaryota; Metazoa; Chordata; Mammalia; Rodentia; Muridae. The record is from RNAcentral.